AUCAGGCGGAAGCCGGGGCUCGGGGCUGGGCUUCGUGUCCUGGGUUCCGGGAGCGCCAACCCCUCCAGGGAGAGGCUGUCGAUGCUGAGGCACGAGAGAAUUUGCUCCUGCUCCUCCAGAGAAAAUGGCUGGGACAGGCUGUUCAGGAAUAAUUCUGCAGGGAAAAGUGGAAGAUGGAUGUGAAAGACUGGGAGAAGGCUGGCUGUGUUUUCAGGGGUUCUUCCUGCACAGUCGUUAGAAGCUGAACUGCUGGGGAAGGGGCUGGAAGAAAGCCCACACUGCAGGUAUCAGUAGCAAAUUCAAAAACUACAGAAAUCAGCUCCAGAGGACUUUGUUAACAAGAAAGAGAAGAUUGAAAACAGCCCUGGGGCUACACCAACUCAAGAGCUCCCAGGCAAAGUGGCGUCCUGGACCCACAAUCUCUCCUACCCCAUCCUCAGUCAGUACUUCCCCAGGCACCGUUCGUUCUGGCGUGGGGCGAGUUCAGCCCUGGGACCACCCUCAUCCUUAAAACUACCAGCUGUCUUUGGUGAGGUGCAAGAUCUCUCUGGUUUUCUUUAUUUCAUUUUCAUUCCUAUAAUCACAGCAUUUUUGUGCCCAUCCCUCAGGUGACAUUCUAUUAUGUUUGAUGUGUCAUUUUUUAUUUGGUUGUGUCCUUGCAAAAUAUGUGUUGUUUUAUUUAUCAGUUUUUAUUUUUUUAUUUUUUGUUUUUUUAAAGAGACGAGGUCUCAUCAUGUUGCCCAGACUGGACUCCAACUCCUGGGCUCAAGCGAUCCUUCCACCUCAGCCUUCUGAGUGGCUGGGACUACAGAUGUGUGCCACCAUACCUGGCUAUUGAUCAAUUUUUAGUUUACCAAACAGGCAUUAUGUUCUGGGUCCCAUUGUGUCGGGUUCUCUUUUCACUCGGCA
RNAcentral lists this non-coding RNA (909 nucleotides) under Pongo abelii (Sumatran orangutan). The record is from RNAcentral. Lineage: Eukaryota; Metazoa; Chordata; Mammalia; Primates; Hominidae.